Molecule: non-coding RNA, 73 nt
Organism: Oenanthe melanoleuca
Lineage: Eukaryota; Metazoa; Chordata; Aves; Passeriformes; Muscicapidae
Source: the annotation of a RefSeq genome assembly
GCCUGGCUAGCUCAAUUGGUAGAGCAUGAGACUCUUAAUCUCAGGGUUGUGGGUUCAAGCCCCAUGUUGGGCG